GUGCUCACACUGGCAGCACAUAUACUAAGAUGGAAAGAUAGAAGAUUAGCAUGGCCCCUGAAAAAGGAUGACACGCAAAUUCGUGAAGUGUCCCAUAUUUUU
This is a small nuclear RNA of Jaculus jaculus (lesser Egyptian jerboa), 102 nucleotides long. Lineage: Eukaryota; Metazoa; Chordata; Mammalia; Rodentia; Dipodidae. The record is from Ensembl.